Molecule: long non-coding RNA, 653 nt
Organism: Talpa occidentalis (Iberian mole)
Lineage: Eukaryota; Metazoa; Chordata; Mammalia; Eulipotyphla; Talpidae
Exons: 3
Source: RefSeq, a predicted model, not a curated record
UGUUCUUGGAGACCAACACUGACAGUUAUGCUUCCAUCCCUUCUAAAGAUUUUGAAAGAGCUCAGUGCUCUGUUUCAAAUACUGCUGCAAGUAUCUAGUGCUGUCUCUAUUACCUGCAGCUCUUUCUUGAUCAGGUAAACUCCCAACCUCACUCAUCACAAGUGUUCUCUUGUUCAAAAGAUGAAAAUAACCAAAACUCUGGAAUAGAACCUCACAAGUCACAUAGGGGAAGGCCCAAGCUUUGUGGGAAUAGUGUAAGGAUAAUCACACUCUGGAGAUCCAAAGGCAUUUCCAGUCAUACCUGCAUCUCCUCCAUUCUGGCAGGGAGCAUAGUUCCCUGGAGCCCCCAGGCCUAAGAAAAUGAUGGUCAUCCUUCCCAGAGGCAAAGUGCCACGCCGCAGGCAGGAAGAAGUCUACAAGGAGAUUCUGAGCCUGAUCCACUGGUGAUCCAAGGUCAGAGCAAUCUAGUAGCAAAAUUUCUCUGACGCUGAGUCAGUGGAAAGACUACUAGCCCUUGUCCAUGAAUGAGGACUGACCAGACUGCUCAUCCAGGCAUAGGUCAAGAAGCUCUAUCUUCAGGAGUGUAGCAUCUGACACCUGACUCCACCCCUCCCCCCAAAUAAAAAGGCCAGAACCAUGUGAAUGUGAAGUAA